CGCGGGAUAGAGCAGUUUGGUAGCUCGUCGGGCUCAUAACCCGGAGGUCGGAGGUUCAAAUCCUCCUCCCGCAACCA
This 77-nucleotide transfer RNA is filed under the name Pseudoflavonifractor phocaeensis. Its description in RNAcentral is "tRNA-Met". It matches the Rfam family "tRNA". Rfam says of the family: Transfer RNA (tRNA) molecules are approximately 80 nucleotides in length. Their secondary structure includes four short double-helical elements and three loops (D, anti-codon, and T loops). Lineage: Bacteria; Bacillati; Bacillota; Clostridia; Eubacteriales; Oscillospiraceae. The record is from RNAcentral. RNAcentral also lists the same sequence under 2 other names.